UACGAAGGGGGCUAGCGUUGUUCGGAAUUACUGGGCGUAAAGGGCGCGUAGGCGGUCGAUCAAGUCAGGCGUGAAAGCCCCGGGCUCAACCUGGGAACCGCGCUUGAGACUGGUGGGCUAGAGUUCGGGAGAGGAUGGUGGAAUUCCCAGUGUAGAGGUGAAAUUCGUAGAUAUUGGGAAGAACACCGAUGGCGAAGGCAGCCAUCUGGACCGACACUGACGCUGAGGCGCGAAAGCGUGGGGAGCAAACAGG
RNAcentral lists this ribosomal RNA (253 nucleotides) under uncultured bacterium. RNAcentral describes it as "partial 16S ribosomal RNA". It matches the Rfam family "Bacterial small subunit ribosomal RNA", at positions 524 to 776 of the family's 1533-position model. The record is from RNAcentral.